This 459-nucleotide ribosomal RNA is filed under the name uncultured bacterium. RNAcentral describes it as "partial 16S ribosomal RNA". It matches the Rfam family "Bacterial small subunit ribosomal RNA", at positions 338 to 795 of the family's 1533-position model. The record is from RNAcentral.
CCUACGGGAGGCAGCAGUGAGGAAUAUUGGUCAAUGGCCGGAAGGCUGAACCAGCCAAGUCGCGUGAGGGACGACUGCCCUCUGGGUUGUAAACCUCUUUUAUAAGGGAAGAAUAAAUGCUACGUGUAGCAUGAUGCCUGUACCUUAUGAAUAAGCAUCGGCUAACUCCGUGCCAGCAGCCGCGGGAAUACGGAGGAUGCGAGCGUUAUCCGGAUUUAUUGGGUGUAAAGGGUGCGUAGGCGGUUUUUUAAGUUAGUGGUUACACGUCUGGGCUUCACCUUGAUUUGCCAUUAAUACUGUAGGACUCGAGUUCAGACGAGGUAGGCGGAAUAAGUUAAGUAGCGGUGAAAUGCUUAGAUAUAACUUAGAACUCCGAUAGCGAAGGCAGCUUACCGGACUGCGACUGACGCUGAAGCACGAGAGCGUGGGUAGCGAACAGGAUUAGAUACCCCUGUAGUC